Mauremys reevesii (Reeves's turtle) is the source of this 1203-nucleotide RNA transcript. It is a transcript of the gene named chromosome 1 C13orf46 homolog, with no coding region annotated. The transcript has 9 exons. The record is from RefSeq and is a predicted model, not a curated record. NCBI's taxonomy places the organism in Eukaryota, Metazoa, Chordata, Testudines, Geoemydidae.
AAUGCCACACACACACCAAGUAAGUACAUCAAGUGAGAAUCUUGCAAGCUAGCUCUUGCCUGGUAAUUUUUAAGGUCUUGGGACUUCUCCCCAUAAAAUCUUACCAUGGAAAAGGAUGUCAGCUCAUCACACAAGAGAUACAUGAAGGGGGUCCAGCUAUCAAAAAUAGCACCUGGCGUCCAGAGAGUCCUCACAGAAACAUCUGAUCUUUACAGAAGUAAAAGUGUCAGUGGCCUCCCACUGAAGUCUGAGCUCACCAGCCUGAUUGAGAAGACCCUGCAAGAAGUUGAAGCUGGGAAUUCAGAAGAGAGGACAAAAAGUGAAGUAGAGGACUGCCAGGUGGAGCUGAAUAAGAAAGGGGAUGAUGACAAAGAGGAAGAUAAGGAUGGAGACUGUGGUCAAGAAGAAUACGGCAUUAGAGUAGGCACGGCUGAGCAAUUGGAAGCACAGACAGAAAAUUUAAAAGUGGAAGAAGUUCUCCUGGAGGUACAGAAAGACCUGUCUACUUUUGUGGAAAUUGACCUAAGAGACGAAGUUGAUGAGAUAACUGAACACUUCUUGACAGAGGAGAAACAAUCGGAAGAAGAGGAAGAACCAGCUGAACUCAAGCUCCAAAGCAACUGGCUGUGCUGCUUUCCAACCUGGAGAAGCAGAAGAAGAAAAAGAUAAAAAUAGGAUAGCUAUGAAAAGACACUGACCAUUCAAGGCUACCUUAUGCUGUCAAGAUCCUGCCUGCAACACUGGGUUUGAUGUCACUAGGGAUUCUCCUUUGAUAAGCACUCUGCUUUUCACACACUACAGGCAGAGCAGCCAGCCCUGUGGCAGGGGUCUGGGAGCACAAGGAACCUUCUAAAGAGGAGUCUCCAGCCUUUGUGUACAAGGGCCAACAUAAACCAAUCUGGAAGGGCCAGUAGAGAAACAAGCACUCAUUAAACUCAGAAAAAAAGCAGAAUUAGACUGGUUUGUUCCUACGCUUGUGACACCUCAGUAAGAAGCCUGCUAUUGCAUUUAUUACACAAUGGUAGGUGCAGAGUGAAAAGGGACAGGAGGACCCAGGGCAGAGGAGCACUAGUGACCAUCUCUGCAAAGAUUUAUUUAGGAAGUUUAGCGUGGGGAAGUAAAGGUCCAGAAGAAUGCAUUUCAGCUGUACUCCUAACCCUGAGACUCGGAUGCCUAGCUGGGUAAUGAAGUGGAUUUUAAUGU